CGGUCACCUCUGCCGAAUCCGUGCCGCCCUCCCGGCGGUUCGGAACCGGGGACCCACACGCGUAACCGGGGUGAAUCGGUCCGUGCCCGCGCAUGACGGACCGUAGGACAGCCUUCCGUUCCCGUCCGAACCCGACAGCUAACCCGGUAGGCGGUCCACGGAAGGAGAU
RNAcentral lists this small RNA (169 nucleotides) under Kitasatospora albolonga. RNAcentral's name for it is "Streptomyces albolongus c-di-AMP sequence". It matches the Rfam family "c-di-AMP riboswitch aptamer (ydaO/yuaA leader)". From Rfam's summary of the family: This family represents a conserved RNA structure found upstream of the ydaO and yuaA genes in Bacillus subtilis and related genes in other bacteria. Lineage: Bacteria; Bacillati; Actinomycetota; Actinomycetes; Kitasatosporales; Streptomycetaceae. The record is from RNAcentral.